Molecule: long non-coding RNA, 1342 nt
Filed under: Ovis aries (sheep)
Lineage: Eukaryota; Metazoa; Chordata; Mammalia; Artiodactyla; Bovidae
Description: lncRNA (ENSOARG00000026437.1)
Source: RNAcentral
GAAAGAUUUUACCCCUGCGGACACUGGAGUGUGGCCCUCUGCCCUAGGAGCAGGUAGAGCCUCUGUGCCCAGGUCCUCACAGAACCACCCCUGCCCCCAGGCCCCCAGGCUCUCCUCCUCUGCCCCUGCCCUGCAGUGGUGGCAAGCAGGCCCCGGCUGGCAGAGGGGAGCCUGGCAGUGGAGGCGAAGGAGAAACGGGAGUGAGAGCAGUUGCUGACCGAGGCCCUGGGUGUGUCCCGGUCGCCCCCUGCAGGCCCUGGCAUGGAGGACGAGGGGCUGGAUGCCUGCUGGGCUGGGCCUUCAGAUGACUAUAUGGGUCAGAGUUUCCAGAUCUGCACAGCCCCGCACAGAAAUGCUGGAAGGUCAGGGAGUGAGGACCUGGAACAUGACCCCUCUUGGCCAGGUGCAGGAGUCUUGGGAUCCAAGGGACUGGCUCCAGUCCCUUUUCUUGCCUUUCUCCCACCCAGCCCCACUGGUCCUGUUCUCUCUUCACAGCUUCUCAGUGAUUGAAAGGAUAAGUCUGGGACCCUCACAGUCCAAAAUUCCCUAGGCCAAAACCUCCAGUUCUUUCCAUUGGGUCUCUAUGAACCUAGCCAUUUCAUUUCUUACAGACCUGGUAAUUCUUUGCAGACAGAAGGGAACUUCUAUUCCUGUGUUUGUGCUUUAAAUGCUUGGGGAUGGCAUUGGUUCAGGAGGUGCUGGGGUCUCAGGGAAGGGCUUUGAACGCCUUCUCUUGCCCCUUCUUUGCCGUUCUCCCCAUCCCUGGUGCUCCUUCCUGCUCCCUCAUGUUGCGGGGGGUGCAUCUUGCUGUGGAGUUGGGCGGUGGUUAGAGAACCUCUGGGAUCCCCCUCAGAGGGCAGGCAGUCCUGGCCAGGGAGGCCUAGGCUCCAUCUGGGGAUCUGGAGGGGAAGUCAGAAGCUACAUGAGGAAGAGUGUAAAGGUUAGAGCUCAGGCAGGAACAGAGACCAGGGCCCACAGUAGGGGUGGGAGAGAAAGAGGCAGGGCCGGAGGCCUGGGGAGAGCUGCCCACUGCCCUCCCUGCCCCUCCCCUCCCCUCUCUACCCCUCCCUCCCUCCUGGGUGUUAGCUGCCUCAGCUGUAGUCCUGAGCUCCUUAAUCUGGUGAUCAGUGUGGUGCUGGGGGGUGGGUUGGCAGAGGCUUUAGGGGGUGACAGGGGAUCUUGGGAGUCGCACUCGGCUAACCGAGCAUCACACAAAGCCCGGGAAUCACAUUCCAAGCGCGGCUCGUUCAGAGGCUGGAGCGGCAUGGGUGGCGCCCGGUGGGGGGCUGGGCCCCGGCUGGCCUUGUGCUCUGCCCCUCAGGAGGGACGCUCCCAAGAGUAA